This 256-nucleotide ribosomal RNA is filed under the name uncultured Hydrogenophaga sp. RNAcentral's name for it is "partial 16S ribosomal RNA". It matches the Rfam family "Bacterial small subunit ribosomal RNA", at positions 1126 to 1382 of the family's 1533-position model. The record is from RNAcentral. Lineage: Bacteria; Pseudomonadati; Pseudomonadota; Betaproteobacteria; Burkholderiales; Comamonadaceae.
UACGAAAGGGCACUCUAAUGAGACUGCCGGUGACAAACCGGAGGAAGGUGGGGAUGACGUCAAGUCCUCAUGGCCCUUAUAGGUGGGGCUACACACGUCAUACAAUGGCUGGUACAAAGGGUUGCCAACCCGCAGGGGGAGCCAAUCCCAUAAAGCCAGUCGUAGUCCGGAUCGCAGUCUGCAACUCGACUGCGUGAAGUCGGAAUCGCUAGUAAUCGUGGAUCAGCAUGUCACGGUGAAUACGUUCCCGGGUCUU